UCUGAGACCUCCCAGCCAUGUGGAACUUGGCACCAACCCCGACUGAGAACCCCGGGUAGAAGACGGAUAAUUUGGUCAGAAAGUGAACAAGGCUCUUGGAAACAUGCAGUGAUACCAGUUUGACUGAAUUAAAGUUGUAUCAUAAAGGCUUGAAUGUGGAUGACUGCAGACAGCGCGAGGUCACUGAGUCCAUAAGCAGCAAGAAGGGCACACAGAGGGGAAAAGGAGAAGCUGGCUGCUGGAGGAGGCAAACUGGACUUCACCAUGUUUUCUGGGGUGGGACCUGACUUUGACCUCAUGUAUACAGAUGGGCUUGACUGAGCUCAUCUAUGCUUAUGUCCAGGUGCUAUGUCUUACGGUAAUAUAUUUUUUUCAACUACCAUUGAAAGACAUGAGAAAUGAAACAUGAAAAUAUUUAAUAAUUCAGUAUUUUCAAGUGUCUAGACUACUGAACAUAUUAUCCAAGAAAUUAUUUAGAAGAAAGGGAAAGGAAAUAGGCAAGAGACUUUACGAGUCCUGACUCUGAAUCGGUUGUUUUCAGAGUUUUAGUUCUCACAGAGUAGAUACUAUUUUCCCUGUUUCACAGAUGACAAAUGUGAGGGUCAGAUAGAUCAGGGAACGUGCCCAAAGUUUCACAGCUAGUCAAUGAGAGAAAGCAUUUUCCAAGCCAGGUUCACUUGGCUGCAAAGCACUUACUCUUUUUGAUACACAGCAUGCUGCCUAGAUGUUUCGGCACAUUUGUAUUACAAAAAUGUUAGAAAUAAAAUUAUGUUUGUUAAAGGAUAGGCAUUUAAAAAGCUCUGGGUUGGGGUUGUCUGUGGAUGAAAUUAUAAAAUGAUAGUUCCCCCCAAAAGACACAUACACGCACGCACGCACGCGCACAUGCAAUGUUGGUUAUUAUGGCUGCGUCACUGAAUUUAUUUGGAAGGACCAUCUUCUUUCGCAUGACAGAAUACAGAUGGCCAUAAACUAUUUACCCAGACAUUUUGAGGGUGAGGGAAUGCAGUCACCAUUUGAAACAAAAAUACAACUCUAGCAAUACAUAUGAAAGUGAAUUACUUUGUUAAUGUGAAAGGGAAGAGGGGGAAAAUGAAUAAAACAGCAAGAAUACAACUGCGAGGAGACUAAAAGGAACAAGGGGUAACUCUGAGACAAGGCAUAUGUGUAGGCUAGACAGAGAGCCGUUUUAGAAAUGUUUAUAAACAAUGAUGUUUGUGGAAUGGGAAGCUGAAUAGCUGUGAUAUUAGGGCUUUCCACUCCUGGAAAAAUAUGGACACCAUGGCUUACAAGUUAUUUGAUUUUGACAAGCAUCUUCCUACUUCCUCUAACAUUUGGUUAGAAACCUACUGAAGUGAUUGCUUUAAAUAAGAAAAAAAAUUCACAUUCUACAUGCGUUUUAUUUCCUAAAACACCCCUAAAUUAUACAGGUUCUCUGAAAAGAUAAGUAUCUCAAUAUUUAGAAGAUGACUUUAGCCUACUGUUUAAGGGUUUUUCAUGCCUUAACUCCUUUAAAAAAUCCUAACAGGCUACAAAAUAGAAAAUAAAUUAAGGAGGAUAGUUCCUUUAUACGAUAAAUCUGCAUUUGGUAGUGACAGUCAAGUACAAACUGUAAAUAACCUAAAAAACUCCUAACUAGUAAUACACAGGUUAAUCAACUAUGAUUAAAAAUAAAUAGGUUUUUUUUGCCAUGAACAAUAUCUUUAACUCAAAAUUAAAUAAUUGCAGCAUACUAGGCAAACUAUAAAAUAAGGAAUUUUUAAAGGCAGAGAAUGAUGUUCUUUCUCCAUUAUAAAUCUGAUGAGUCUCGGUGACCUUUUGUUCACAUGAACACUGACAAACUCUGCAUAAUGCAUGACUGUCCCAACCCCCUUCUCCUCCCAAUAGUUCCUGCUUUGAUUCUAAUCUGUAUUCUAGGGUCUGGGGUGGGACACUUUCGUAAGCGGUGGGGGCGAGGGGAUGGCAAUGGUAGACCCUGGUCAGGGCUGUCAGAAGCCUUGGAGUCCUCUGGGAAGAGCAGAGGGCAAUAAUUUAUUACAGUAUAGGAGAGACAGCUGGGAAGUAAUUCCUCCGUGUUAUCUUGAUGAUUGGAGAAGGAGUCAAAGAAAUAACACGAGUUCAGUGCUAUGAAGGAAAAAGCACUGGACAGUGAUUUGGAUGGGUAUCCACUUGGUUUUCUUGGUUACAAUUUAAGGCAGAUGUGAAACUCAAAAAGGUACCUUGGGACCAUCGUGUUCUUGGUAAAGUUGCCACAAAUGCCACAACAGCUUAGAGAAACCCCGAAAUACUGGUCUUGGAAAAAAAAAUUAGACAGUUUUAGCUCUUAGGGGAAAGAGCAAUAGAUUUAUUUGAUGAAAUAAUUAAUAAGUCAUGGUCCCCACAACCAUUUUCAGGCAUGAAGCUAGCACUGAAUACUUUGUGCUUUCAAAGUUUCGAAUGACCUUCCGUUAAACUUUCAUAACAAGAUUCCUUUAAAACACAUUUAUGCUUUGCUAUUAACACUACUAAUCAUACAGUGAUUAAUAAUAGGGGUGGUAAUGGCAUUACUUAUGAAUCCUAGAAUUAAAAUUAGGUGUUCGUCUCCAUCCUACCCAACAGCCUGGAGUGUGUCAAGACAUCGGACCAUGCAGAAUCUUAUUGUUUGUAUUUUCAAUGUCUUGUGCAUCAAGACAAGAAAUGAAUGAGUUUUAAAAACCUGUAUAUAAAGACUGUUGAGUCCUAGCAUAAGCACAUUGCUUACACACAUAUGAAUCUGUGCUGUGACACUAGGUACAAGUAUAGAGGACGCCUAACUUCACUUAAAGUCUAAGUAAACACAAAGCAUGGCCUACAGUGAUUUCCCUGCAUUGGAGAACCGGACAUAUGUCUCGUCAUCCUUCGGACAAGCUGGUAACAUUAAAAGGAGACAAUACCAGAGUAAACACUCAUAUAUUCAUGAUGAGACAAAAACAUUAAAAUUCAUUAAAAUGUUACAAAUAAAAAAGUCACUUUUGUUUUGGUAUUUACAUACUUGAAAGAGGUUUAUUUGGCGUUCUGGGAGGUUACUACAUUUCCAGUCAAAGUCUACCGAUGACUUGCGGAGGGAGAGGAAAGCUGUCAGGUUCUCUAACUUCCCCAUCUGUUCAUGCCCCUCCUGGAUGGCUCCCGUUCUCCAAUGGAGAAGCGGAGCGCUGGCCUCUUGAAAGCUGUUUUUCUGGCACUGCCUUCCUGAGCUAAAGAAAUGGUUUGGUUUAAAAUACCUUCCCUUUUAGUCCUGUCCCAGCUUCAAGAUGAAUGUCCUUAAUUUUAAAGAAGCACCGUCCAAUAGUUUAUAUGUUGCUGGAAGAAGAAAAUUAUAUUAUGUUGUAAUUAUGUAGAGAACUAGCAUAUGGCUCUUUCCAGGGGAAAAGUAGUUUUUAACCCGUAAACUCUAGAAGGAACUUACAUAAGAAUAGAAAUCCAGGCACCAGGAAACACAUGUAUUCAUCAUUUUAUUGCUUCUUAAAAUUUACUCUGACAUGAGAGGAGAAUGUAUCAUCGCACAUACUCUCAUGAAUGUAGCAGAUGAAAUCCAGGAAAGUUUAAUCAAUAAAAAUGACAGUACAUAUAUUUCUAUAGUACUUAAAGUUUAUAACACGCACACAUUAUCUCAUGUGACCCUCGCGUACAACUAAAACUAAGGGAAGGGAUAUUCUUCAAUUUUAAGAUAAGAAACCAGGCUAGAGGUUAAUAAACAUUUUUUUUUUUAAAGAUAAAAAGCUCACUCAGACUAUUAUAUCUUUAAAUGAGGGUUAAUCUGGAAAUAGGCCAGUCAGUUUGAACCUAUUUUUAAGAUCAUUCAGCUAGUUGGGAGGCAAACUCAAGACACAAACUCCGCCUUCUCUGAGGAAAAUCAGCACUCUUCACAAAUUCCUAGAAUGACACCAGUGUGCCCAUGGUCAUAGACUAUUUAUACAAGAUUUUUUACUCUCUAGUUUGGUUUGUCAAUGCCACGUUCUUGACAUUGGGCUUAUUUUUAAAAAUCACUUAAUAGAAUAAAUGAAGCAAUAAUGGGAUCUAAACUAUUGGAAGAAUCAGACAAAAGUAAUUUUAAAAUAAGAAAGGAGGAGCUGGAUGUUAAAACACUAAUUUUAUUUCUGAAAUUAUUUUUUCCAGAUUUCUACAUGGUAUUAUCUUAAUGUUUGAAACUCUUUCAAGAUGUCAGUUUGAAUCCCUGCAUUACAUUUUAUACUGUUUCUGCUGGUACUGCUCAUAGAGCUUACGUGACUAAUUAAACCUCACUGCUAUUACAUUUCAAGCAGAAGUUGAAGUUUACUUAUUUCUCAAUAAAAACUAUGAUUGUCUGCCAUGAUACCCAUGCAUUAUUCGA
This is a long non-coding RNA of Saimiri boliviensis boliviensis (Bolivian squirrel monkey), 4345 nucleotides long. RefSeq lists it as uncharacterized. The record is from RefSeq and is a predicted model, not a curated record. Lineage: Eukaryota; Metazoa; Chordata; Mammalia; Primates; Cebidae.